CAUUUAAAAUAUACCCUUCAAAAGGCACCAGUCUCAUUGAAUAUUGAAAAGCUAAGCAGAGAUAGGCCUGGUGAGUACUUGAAUGGGAGACCACCAGGGAAUACCAGAUGCUGUAUAGGA
RNAcentral lists this ribosomal RNA (120 nucleotides) under Pogona vitticeps (central bearded dragon). The record is from RNAcentral. Lineage: Eukaryota; Metazoa; Chordata; Lepidosauria; Squamata; Agamidae.